GAUGAACGCUGGCGGCGUGCUUAAUACAUGUAAGUCGGACGGUGCGUUAGCGAUAAUGCAUAGUGGCGAACGGGUGCGUAACGCGUUGGUGACCUGCCCCGAAGUGUGGGAUAACAGUUCGAAAGGACUGCUAAUACCGCAUGUGGUCUUCCGGAUUAGAAGCCGGAUUUCUAAAGCAGUAAUGCGCUUUGGGAGGGACCUGCGUCCCAUCAGCUAGUUGGUGAGGUAAUGGCCCACCAAGGCUACGACGGGUAGGGGACCUGAGAGGGUGGUCCCCCACACUGGCACUGAAACACGGGCCAGACACCUACGGGAGGCAG
This 320-nucleotide ribosomal RNA is filed under the name uncultured Chloroflexota bacterium. RNAcentral describes it as "bacterial SSU rRNA". It matches the Rfam family "Bacterial small subunit ribosomal RNA", at positions 28 to 351 of the family's 1533-position model. The record is from RNAcentral. Lineage: Bacteria; Bacillati; Chloroflexota.